AGAUGCGAUCAUACCAGCACUAAAGCACCGGAUCCCAUCAGAACUCCGAAGUUAAGCGUGCUUGGGCGAGAGUAGUACUAGGAUGGGUGCCCUGGGAAGUCCUCGUGUUGCAUUCC
Molecule: ribosomal RNA, 116 nt
Filed under: Triticum aestivum (bread wheat)
Lineage: Eukaryota; Viridiplantae; Streptophyta; Magnoliopsida; Poales; Poaceae
Source: RNAcentral